This 600-nucleotide ribosomal RNA is filed under the name uncultured bacterium. RNAcentral describes it as "partial 16S ribosomal RNA". It matches the Rfam family "Bacterial small subunit ribosomal RNA", at positions 10 to 600 of the family's 1533-position model. The record is from RNAcentral.
AGUUUGAUCCUGGCUCAAGACGAACGCUGGCGGCGUGCCUAACACAUGCAAGUCGAACGGAGAUACGCGCUGAAUGGAUGGAGCUUGCUUUUGAAAUUCUUGUGUAUCUUAGUGGCGGACGGGUGAGUAACGCGUGAGCAACCUGCCUUUCAGAGGGGGAUAACGUUUGGAAACGAACGCUAAUACCGCAUGAGACCACGGUACUGCAUAGUACAGUGGCCAAAGGAGCAAUCCGCUGAAAGAUGGGCUCGCGUCCGAUUANGUAGUUGGCGGGGUAACGGCCCACCAAGUCGACGAUCGGUAGCCGGACUAGAGAGUUGAACGGCCACAUUGGGACUGAGACACGGCCCAAACUCCUACGGGGAGGCAGCAAUGAGGGAUAUUGGUCAUGGGGGAAAACCCCGAACCCCCAACCCCCCCUGAAGGAAAACCGUUUUCCCGAUUGUAAACCCCCGGCCCCCCGCGAGAUAAUGACGGGUCCAAAAGAAGGAAACCCCGCCGNCNUNUUGGCCGCGGCCCCGGGUUUUCCUUUGGAAGGGGGCGUUGCCGGGAUUUUUGGGUGUUAAGGGGGCCGUAACCCGCCCCCCGCAGCCCCAAAAG